AAGUCGUAACAAGGUUUCCGUAGGUGAACCUGCGGAAGGAUCAUUAACACUUUUCAUCCCUAAUAGAGGAGAUGUGAAGGAGGGUUUAGCAAUAAGCUUUUCUUCGCGUCUUUUCUUCCUAACCCCAUUGUGUGCACUUGUGAGAGCAAAACUAGAGGCUUAUGCGUUAAAAACAUAGCCUUUACGUUUUCUCUUUGUUUUUUCUUCCCUUUCUUUUUUUUUUCAACCCCUUUUUAAUGCGAUAGACUGAAUUAAACCUUUGAUCUCUUUGCCGCAUCUCGUAUGUGGUAGUUAGAUCUACGGUAGGUCGAAAGACCUCCAAAUGAGAAAUACAACUCUUAGCAACGGAUAUCUAGGCUCUC
This 362-nucleotide unclassified non-coding RNA is filed under the name fungal sp. RNAcentral describes it as "partial internal transcribed spacer region". The stretch from base 1 to 46 matches the Rfam family "Eukaryotic small subunit ribosomal RNA", at positions 1786 to 1831 of the family's 1831-position model. Lineage: Eukaryota; Fungi. The record is from RNAcentral.